Molecule: ribosomal RNA, 1461 nt
Filed under: Triticum aestivum (bread wheat)
Lineage: Eukaryota; Viridiplantae; Streptophyta; Magnoliopsida; Poales; Poaceae
Description: partial small subunit ribosomal RNA
Source: RNAcentral
AUGAACGCCGCCCUAGAUGCCGCCGGAGCGGCCCGCCGCCGCAGCCCACGCCUCCAUCCCCAGGUUCAGGCGAAUGAGGAGGGAGCCGGACUGCAUCUGAGGCGCAGUGCGCGUCUCCAUCCCCCAGUCCACGCAAGUGACGAGGGCGACGGAGUCACCCGCCGCCGCAGCCCUCGCCUCCAUCCCCUGGUUCAAGGAGUGGCUCGCCGGUGCAGCACGCGCCUCCGUCCCAAGGUCCACACGAACACGAGUGAGGAGGCAUCCGGAGUGAUCCGCGGCAGUUGUCGCCGCCGCCACAGCUCGCGGGCUGCGCUAUCCUCACCGCUUGAAGACGACGAUCUCCUGAGGGAGAUCCUGCUCCGUCUCCCACCGCAGACCUCCUCCCUGCCCCGCGCCUCCGCCGUCUGCAAGCGGUGGCGACACGCCUCCACCGACCCAAGGUUCCACCGCCAGUUCCGUGCAUAUCACCAAAAGCCGCCCCUCCUUGGUUUCUUCGAGGAUAGCGUGGAUGGUAUCGUGUUCACACCAAUCCUGGACCAUCCUGAUCGUAUCCCUCCACAGCGCUUCGACCUCAUUGACAGCGGCGACCUCUCAAGGUUCCAACUGCUUGGAUGCCGUCACGGCCGCCUUCUCAUCAUGCGCCCAAUACAGCAGGAUCUUAUUGUCAUUGCCCCCAUCACCGGGGAGGAGUGCCGUGUGCCCAUUCCGUCGGAGUUCAAUAAACGCUAUGUUAACGGGGCGGUGCUCUGUGCUGCUACUGAUCACGACCAUGUGCACGGAAACUGCCACUUGAGCCCAUUCAAGGUGAUCUUGCUAUCCACGAGCACCUACUAUAGUGGUCCACAGCUCAUCUUAGCAUCUGUUUACUCUUCGAAGGCUGGCGUAUGGGGCGACGUCAUCUCAACUCUGACUCCAUGUGAGCUUCCUGGUGGCGGUACUCAUGGGUCACUAGUUGGUAAUGCACUUUACUGGUUGUGUAGAGAUUACAUGAUUGAGUUUGAUUUGGAUGGGCACAUCUUAGCUUUGAUCAGUGCGCCCCCCACUAUAAAUGAGUCACGUCACUUUUUUGACAUGCGUGAGGUCAUCCAGAUCAUGGAUGGCGCUGUUGGUAUCGCCAUAUUGUCUCACUAUUACCAUAACAUUCAAAUGUGGCAAAGGAAGGUUAAUUGUCAGGGUGCUACCAAAUGGGAGUUGUGGAAGACCAUCGACAUGCAUAACAUUGAUGGGAUCCCCCCUGGGGUUGAAGGAGUGAGGACAGGGUUGUUAUUUAGACUGAGAUAUGUUGAGGAUACUGAUGAAAUAUUUCUAUAUGUGGGCCAUAAUGUCUAUAUGGUUCAACUUAAGUCGAUGCAAUCGAAGAAACUUUGUGAAAGCGGUUGUGUUAGUGCUCAUCAUUCUUUCAAGAGUUUCUGUAUGCCAGGCACAACCAUUGUUGGUGGAUGUGAUGGAUCCCAUACAUAG